RNAcentral lists this ribosomal RNA (252 nucleotides) under uncultured bacterium. RNAcentral's name for it is "partial 16S ribosomal RNA". It matches the Rfam family "Bacterial small subunit ribosomal RNA", at positions 524 to 776 of the family's 1533-position model. The record is from RNAcentral.
UACGUAGGGUGCAAGCGUUAAUCGGAAUUACUGGGCUAAAGGGCGCGUAGGCGGUGAGAUGAGUGUGGUGUGAAAGCCCCGGGCUUAACCUGGGAAGCGCAUCGCAAACGAUCUGACUGGAGUACAAGAGAGGGUGGCGGAAUUUCCGGUGUAGCGGUGAAAUGCGUAGAGAUCGGAAGGAACGUCAAUGGCGAAGGCAGCCACCUGGCUUGAUACUGACGCUGAGGCGCGAAAGCGUGGGGAGCGAACAGG